RNAcentral lists this long non-coding RNA (1074 nucleotides) under Rattus norvegicus (Norway rat). Its description in RNAcentral is "long non-coding RNA NONRATT003213". Lineage: Eukaryota; Metazoa; Chordata; Mammalia; Rodentia; Muridae. The record is from RNAcentral.
CCAGCUCCUAGUCAUUCUUGGAGGAGUGGUUCUUAGUUCCCACAAGUGAAAUCUGUCUCUUCUUAGGGAUCAUACAGAAACAACAGAGUAUCACACUCUGCACUGUGUACCCCUCCAGUCUUAACUACUCUAGGUUACACUGAUUUGGGGGUGAUUCCACUGUGAUUGUUGGGUUUCAGACCUCUAAGAUUUAUUUAUUGUGUAUAUAAUGCUUUGCCUGCAUGGGCAGAAAAGAGCACCAGAUCUCAUUUCAGAUGGUUAUGAGUUACCAUGUGCUUGCUGAGAAUUGAACUCAGGACCUUGGGAGAAGCAGUUAGUGCUCAUAACCUCUGAGCCAUCUCUCCAGUCCCAGUUUCAGACCUCUAAACACUCUUACCUUUCUUUUUAAAGAUGUAAUAAAACCAAAUCUUCACCACUUUUGGAAAGUUGAUUCAGGCUGGGUAUCCAGCACAGUACACUGAGAGGUUUAUUUAAGAAAAAAUGGGGGGUGGAGAGACGGCUCAGCGGUUGAGAGUACCCACUGCUCUUCCAGAGGUCCUGGGUACAGUUCCCAGCAACCACAUGGUGGCUCACAACCAUCUGUAGGGAGAUCCGAUGCCCUCUUCUGGUGUGUCUGAAGAGAGUGACAGGGUACUCAUAUAUAAUAAAUAAAUCUUAAAAAAAGAAAGAAAGAAAGAAAGAAGGGGUUGGUAUCAAGCAGCAAGAGGGGGAGAUGGAACUGGUAGAUGUGAGUUUCCUACAGUUGACUAAUGGCCGGAAAAAUGACACCCACCUGGCUAGGUGCUCAGUAAAACUUUACUACCUUUCGCCUUGGGCAGCUGUACCAAAGUGGUAUUUCCAAACGUGACUUAUCUUUCAACAGCUGAACUGGGUCAUCCUCCCGCAUUUGCUUCUUCCUGUGGUGCAUCUGCUCUCAGCUCUAAGUGGGGGCAGAUGGGAAACAUUAAUUUGUAAUUACCUCUGUUUAGGUGUUUAGCAAGUUGAUGUAACCACUUGUUUGUUUCUUCAUGGAUAAUGAGUACCCCCUGGUCAGGGGCAGUGCCAGAUAGGAUUUCAUUAAAAUAUUUAAUGGAA